GUUGGUAUAGCUCAGUGGUAGAAUGUGUGCUUAGCAUGCAAGAAAUCCUGGGUUCGAUCCCCAGUCCCUCCA
This 72-nucleotide transfer RNA is filed under the name Camelus bactrianus (Bactrian camel). It matches the Rfam family "tRNA". Rfam says of the family: Transfer RNA (tRNA) molecules are approximately 80 nucleotides in length. Their secondary structure includes four short double-helical elements and three loops (D, anti-codon, and T loops). Further hydrogen bonds mediate the characteristic L-shaped molecular structure. tRNAs have two regions of fundamental functional importance: the anti-codon, which is responsible for specific mRNA codon recognition, and the 3' end, to which the tRNAs corresponding amino acid is attached (by aminoacyl-tRNA synthetases). tRNAs cope with the degeneracy of the genetic code in two manners: having more than one tRNA (with a specific anti-codon) for a particular amino acid; and 'wobble' base-pairing, i.e. permitting non-standard base-pairing at the 3rd anti-codon position. RNAcentral also lists the same sequence under 1 other name. Lineage: Eukaryota; Metazoa; Chordata; Mammalia; Artiodactyla; Camelidae. The record is from Rfam by way of RNAcentral.